RNAcentral lists this ribosomal RNA (306 nucleotides) under Klebsiella pneumoniae. RNAcentral's name for it is "bacterial SSU rRNA". It matches the Rfam family "Bacterial small subunit ribosomal RNA", at positions 639 to 944 of the family's 1533-position model. Lineage: Bacteria; Pseudomonadati; Pseudomonadota; Gammaproteobacteria; Enterobacterales; Enterobacteriaceae. The record is from RNAcentral.
GGCUAGAGUCUUGUAGAGGGGGGUAGAAUUCCAGGUGUAGCGGUGAAAUGCGUAGAGAUCUGGAGGAAUACCGGUGGCGAAGGCGGCCCCCUGGACAAAGACUGCCGCUCAGGUGCGAAAGCGUGGGGAGCAAACAGGAUUAGAUACCCUGGUAGUCCACGCCGUAAACGAUGUCGAUUUGGAGGUUGUGCCCUUGAGGCGUGGCUUCCGGAGCUAACGCGUUAAAUCGACCGCCUGGGGAGUACGGCCGCAAGGUUAAAUCUCAAAUGAAUUGACGGGGGCCCGCACAAGCGGUGGAGCAUGUGG